Molecule: transfer RNA, 68 nt
Filed under: Zachaenus carvalhoi
Lineage: Eukaryota; Metazoa; Chordata; Amphibia; Anura; Cycloramphidae
Description: tRNA-Val
Rfam family: tRNA
About the family: Transfer RNA (tRNA) molecules are approximately 80 nucleotides in length. Their secondary structure includes four short double-helical elements and three loops (D, anti-codon, and T loops).
Source: RNAcentral
CGGAGUAUAGCUUAUUAAAGCAUUUCGCUUACACCGAAAAGAUAUUUGUGUAACUCAAACUGCCCCGA